CAUGAGGUUUUGGCUAUGGGCCCGAGCACUUUGGUCCAGAAUGUCCCCACCUGGCAGGGUAUGGCGGUACAGUUGGAACCGGCAUUGUCUGUUUCUCACCCUGUGGGGGCGGAGGGGUUGCGCUGGAAGCUGGCGAAUGACAUUAAGAGUUUCAGUGCUUCGAAGGUGAGAGCCUUGCGGAGUGCUGUCAAAGCUGCUAAGGAAUGGAUAGACUCUCACAAUAUAGUGUGUGCAUGGGAUGAUAAAACUAGUGCUAGAAAGUGGUAAUAUUAGAAUAUACCCCGUUUAGAGCAGCUAGAUCGGAAG
This 306-nucleotide long non-coding RNA is filed under the name Androctonus crassicauda. Lineage: Eukaryota; Metazoa; Arthropoda; Arachnida; Scorpiones; Buthidae. The record is from RNAcentral.